UAUAAAUGAUUCUUACCUACAUAUAUGCUCCACAUUCGACACUUGUACCUAGUAUUUUAUCAAGAGUAAAGGGCAUUUUGGAGUGUUUAGUUCUACUUUUCCCUUCUUCGUGAUCCUUUUUCCUUUAUUGAUCCUACCGACCUUCUCAUGGUCACACCAACCCGACUCAGGCAUCAUAAUCCCAAGACGGUCCUAAUCGGAGAUGCUACUUCCAAUUUCUUCAGCACGGUCAUCAUUCUCUCUGAGAUCAGCAGGGAUAUGUGAUUCUGGACAUGCUCACUCACAGAACCUAACCCUUCUUAUUUGUGCAGCAGCCAACUCACGGGUAAAUUACUGAUUGCCUUGGGCUUUGCCACUGUCUUUUUGAGCUUCCGUCCGUCUUUAUAGGUUUCAAUCUGAUGCAUGGAAGAAGGGUUUGGUCGGUGCAUGGAAUCGGGCCUUUGUCAACGAAUGGAUUUGGGGUCAAAACACCUUGACUCAAUGCAAUGGAGAGUUUGAAUGGUUGCAGUGGAGUUGAAUCAUCCAGUCGACUUUUUGAAGAUUGUGGAAUCCGAAGGGUUUGGAAGACGUGCUAAGGCUACAAGCAUUGGCUCAAAAGUCUGGGAGAUUCAUGAUUUAUGUCCAUACCAAAGGGAUGAUAAUUGAUGAUAAGUACGUUAUCAUGGGAUCAGCAAGCAUUAACUAAAGAUCCUUAGAUGGUUCAAGGGGCACAGAAAUAGCUAUUAAGUGCUUACCAACCAAAUUACCCAUGGGCAGGAAAGAAAUCCCUCCCGUAUUGCUAGGUUUGGGAUUCUGUCUCUACUCACUUUUAAAUGCUCAAAAAAGUGCCAGACAGUCAUUUGUGCAUACUAUUUCUAUUUUUUUGGUUUAAUUGUUUUAGCAUAUGCUUCAAAGGAAACAAAAUGGCAUUAAAGCAUGGAGAAUAGCAUCUCUGGGGUCUAAAAUAUAUUUAAUGUUUGCCUAAAUUCCCAUUUAGAUUUGUUAGUUGCACCAGUAUUGUUGGAUGUAGGUUUAUGGUUAUCGGAUGUCUCUGUGGGCUGAACACCUUGGCAAACUGAAGGAUAGUUUUGAAGAACCGCAAAGCGUAGAAUGUGUUUCUAAUUGUUCUAAAUUAUGUUUUAUUUUAUCUGUACUUCAAGUUUAUGGCUGGAUGGGAGCAGAAAAAGGCUACCGAUGGUAAGUUUUUUUUUUUUUUGCCUCAAGUUUGUUAGGAUCCAUUGUUAAUGCAUGCAUAAAAGUAUGGUCAUUUCUAAUCUUGCAAAUGAUGUGUUGUUCAUAUUCUAGGAGGAAAAAAGAAGGAAGUGAAGAAGAUUGGUUUGGGUCUCUCCUUUACUAAGGAUGAGAAUUUCAGGGAAUGGUACUCUGAGGUAUAUUUUGUUGCAAUGGUACAAUUGCUUUGUGAUUGUUAUACUACUUUAUUGGGAUCUUAGUAUCUUAUGAUUAUAUCAUACAUUUUUGGCUUUUGUAAGUUACUGUCAGCGGUGAAAUGAUUGACAUCAAUGACAUUUCUAGCUGUUAUAUUUGGAGGCCAUGGGCAAUUUCAAUUGGGAGAUUAAGUCAUAUAAUAUUUAUACUCAUUGCAGUUUAAUUAGUAAAUAGCAAGUGUUAAUUAAUAACGAGGGAAAAAAUGGUCAUGGAUGCCAUUCUUUGAUUUUUUUUUUUUCUUUCCCUUCCCUUUAACUUAUCUAUGAUUGUAAAUUGCACACAUUCUUUGAUGUGGAAAUCAAAAAAAAUGAAAGUCAAGAACUUC
This is a long non-coding RNA of Theobroma umbraticum, 1750 nucleotides long. RefSeq lists it as uncharacterized. NCBI's taxonomy places the organism in Eukaryota, Viridiplantae, Streptophyta, Magnoliopsida, Malvales, Malvaceae. The record is from RefSeq and is a predicted model, not a curated record.